RNAcentral lists this ribosomal RNA (499 nucleotides) under uncultured bacterium. RNAcentral describes it as "partial 16S ribosomal RNA". It matches the Rfam family "Bacterial small subunit ribosomal RNA", at positions 30 to 523 of the family's 1533-position model. The record is from RNAcentral.
UUGAACGCUGGCGGCAGGCCUAACACAUGCAAGUCGAGCGGUUGAGAGUAGCUUGCUACUUGAUGCAGCGGCGGACGGGUGAGUAACGCGUGGGAAUCUGCCCAGUAGUGGGGGACAACAGCCGGAAACGGCUGCUAAUACCGCAUACGCCCCACGGGGGAAAGGGGGGGAUCUUCGGACCUCUCGCUAUUGGAUGAGCCCGCGUCGGAUUAGCUAGUUGGUAGGGUAAAGGCCUACCAAGGCUACGAUCCGUAACUGGUCUGAGAGGAUGAUCAGUCACACUGGAACUGAGACACGGUCCAGACACCUACGGGAGGAAGCAGUGGGGAAUAUUGGACAAUGGGGGAAACACUGAUCCAGCCAUGCCGCGUGUGUGAAGAAGGCCUUAGGGUUGUAAAGCACUUUCAGUGGGGAGAAAGGUUUGUCACCUAAUACGUGAUGAAAUUGAUGUUACCCACAGAAGAAGCACCGGCUAACUCCGUGCCAGCAGCCGCCGUAA